RNAcentral lists this long non-coding RNA (2202 nucleotides) under Homo sapiens (human). Its description in RNAcentral is "HSALNT0027140". Lineage: Eukaryota; Metazoa; Chordata; Mammalia; Primates; Hominidae. The record is from RNAcentral.
GGGACACCUGACUUCGGGAUCCAAGUGCAACACAGACGAACACACAGGCACAUCGGGAGCACCAGGAUGGUCAGGAACUUUGCAUGACCAAGGAGACUGCUGGAUUAAUGAAAUUGCACCAUCUUUUGAAAGGGCCUCAAGGAGAGUUCAGUCCUGAGUUAGCCUUGGCAUUAAAAAUAAAACUGUACUUCUGUUCAGACUCAUCCAUUGCAGUGAGAAUGAUCUGGGUGGGCUUCGAAUAUCAAAAGCCUCCAAGGGGAAUGGCUUAGAGGGUGAGCAAUCUGUGAUCUCACGUGACAAGCAGUCCAGAGCCAUGGACUCCAGUUCUUUACUUUUUUCUUCUCUGCUGUCCUUAGCCCUCAGGUUGAGGCCCUUCCUGGCAAAGCUGCCCUAGGCCCAGAUGUCACAUAUGCAUGACAACGUCCGGGGACCAUUUGCCCCAGCAGAUUCCCUUUCAUUUCUGAUUGGCCGGCAAGUGGCUGAGGAUCGUCUUACUCGCACCCUGGUGCUGGGCGCUGACCACCUCCCGAAGCACUUGGCCAGGGGGAGAGGAUGCUGGACACAAUCAGGUUCUCCUGGGGGGAGGAGGGAGGGAAUGGCUGCUGGAAGGGUUCUACCGGGGACUCCUACAGCAGCUUGUUAGAUCUCCUUCCUCCCAAUUCCCUGAAGUUGGUGGAACAGGAAGAGGACGAGAAGUCAUGUUUGUAUGUUGUCCCCUUGGAAUCUCUCAAAAAUCCGCAAUAUCCCGAUUUGAGAAAUGAGCAUCACAGAGAAAGCAAAGCGGUAGUUGGAAGCUGCCAAGCUUGUGAGCAACGAGACGGAAUCCACGCCCAGGGCUUUCUAACGGCGGGGCCACGCCCUCCACACUCCACCUCGGCCCUCUGCCCUGCGAUGGUGCAGAGACAGGGUGUGGUCAAGGGGCCUAGGGUGAGGGUCCUGCCAGUACUUUACAGGAAACUCCCCCUCUUUUAGCCUCAUUUGUCAAAGAAAGGGCUUAGACACUAAAAUCUUUUAAGUUUCCUUCUAGCUCAAUCUCUCUUUGAUUUAAUACCUUCUAAAAGAGAUUUGGGGCCCCAGAAAAAAAGAAAGCAAGAAAGCAACUGGCACUUCUGUGGUUGACUCAGCACAGAGGCCUGGACAGGCAUCAGGAGGCUGGGCUCCUCCUAUUUUGGGCCUCGUGAGUUCAUCCUGAGGCCUGUGCCAGUCCCUGCGGUUUCUCAUCUCUCCAUCCUGGUCUGUAUGACAAAAUGGCUAAAAAUACCGGGCUCCCCGCGGGCCCGCCACCCGGCUAACACCCUCCCUUGAAUCAGCUCAUUUUUUAGUCUUGGGUAUGCUGCAGAUGAGAGUCCAGGACAAGCCACCUUCGGAAGCUCUGACUCCCAGGAACCCCGCUUGGGUUGGUCCUUGUGCUCUGGUGGAAGAAGCUUGGGCGCUGUCCACUUCCUAGGCAGUGAAGGAAUUUUACCCAGUCUCCUGGAAUGAAGACUACGUUUCCCAGGCUCCCUUGCAGCUAGCUGCAGCGUCACUGCUAGGCCUGGUCCAUAAGAUCUGAAUGCCACAAAAUGCAUGGCACAGGGAAGGGUUUGACAACUUUUUGAUGGAUGAACAAAGAAGAUUCAAGCCACUUGUCAACAAGCUCAAAGUGAUUGAAAGUGGAAGCAUUUACCCACACGCUCAUGCAGAAAAUGACAGGAAAUCAUCCAGAGACACUUGUGACAGAGAUGAGAACUGUCACUGUUGAGAGGUGCUGCGGAGAUGGGUGUCCACGGAUGACCGUUCGGAGGCCGACUUCGGGGAUGUGGCCCCAUUAGCUCAAGAGUGGGUGACUCCCUACCACACUGAUGGCGUUGGCCAGGACAGGACAAGCCUACUGCAGUGACACAGUGUCACUGAUCCCUGAUGCCCACGUGGGUGUUUUACUUUAGCUAAUGCUGCAGAGAUAAUGCAGACAGAGAAAUGAGGCCCCAGCGCUGAGCAGCCCAAUCACCUGGUUGUAAGCAGCGAGUGUUUCUGGCUCUGCUCCUGGGCCCCAAACCACUGUGGGCUCACGAAGAAUCUUUCAGAGUUGGAGUCAGAAUGUCAGGGUUUGAGUGUAGUCUCCACCCCUUAAUGACCUUGCAUUGAUAAUUCUAUUCCCCGAGCCUCAUUUUACCCAUCUAUAAAAUGAGGACAAAUAGUUUAUUUCCUGGUUACUUCACUAAG